UACGUAGGGUGCGAGCGUUAAUCGGAAUUACUGGGCGUAAAGCGUGCGCAGGCGGUUCGUUGUGUCGGUGGUGAAAUCCCCGGGCUUAACCUGGGAAUGGCCAUGGAAACUGGCGAACUGGAGUGUGGCAGAGGGGGGUGGAAUUCCGCGUGUAGCAGUGAAAUGCGCAGAUAUCGGGAAGAACACCCGUGGCGAAGGCGGCUUUCUGGGACGGUACUGACGCUGAGACGCGAAAGCGUGGGGAGCGAACAGG
This 253-nucleotide ribosomal RNA is filed under the name uncultured bacterium. RNAcentral describes it as "partial 16S ribosomal RNA". It matches the Rfam family "Bacterial small subunit ribosomal RNA", at positions 524 to 776 of the family's 1533-position model. The record is from RNAcentral.